ACUCAAAUGAAUAGACGGGGACCCGCACAAGCGGUGGAUGAUGUGGAUUAAUUCGAUGCAACGCGAAAAACCUUACCUACCCUUGACAUGUCUGGAAUCCUUUAGAGAUAGAGGAGUGCUCGCAAGAGAACCGGAACACAGGUGCUGCAUGGCUGUCGUCAGCUCGUGUCGUGAGAUGUUGGGUUAAGUCCCGCAACGAGCGCAACCCUUGUCAUUAGUUGCCAGCAUUCAGUUGGGCACUCUAAUGAGACUGCCGGUGACAAACCGGAGGAAGGUGGGGAUGACGUCAAGUCCUCAUGGCCCUUAUGGGUAGGGCUUCACACGUCAUACAAUGGUCGGGACAGAGGGUUGCCAAACCGCGAGGUGGAGCCAAUCUCAGAAACCCGAUCGUAGUCCGGAUUGCAGGCUGCAACUCGCCUGCAUGAAGUCGGAAUCGCUAGUAAUCGCGGAUCAGCAUGUCGCGGUGAAUACGUUCCCGGGUCUUGCACACACCGCCCGU
This 499-nucleotide ribosomal RNA is filed under the name uncultured bacterium. RNAcentral's name for it is "bacterial SSU rRNA". It matches the Rfam family "Bacterial small subunit ribosomal RNA", at positions 899 to 1397 of the family's 1533-position model. The record is from RNAcentral.